AUGCGCCCAUUCCAAACAGAGGCGAGGCAUCCCCUCACACCGGUACCCCGCCCCUCCCCGCGCCGGCGCGCCCCGGUGGUCGCCGGAUCCGGGCGCCACCAUCUUCCAGAGGGCGGUGUACGUGUUCGUGCAGCCCGUGCAUCGGGGCCGUGCAGUUCGCGAGUGACUCUGCUCCUCCCCGGUACUUCCUCCUGUCUAUGGCUUGCGUGGUUGCAGUCCACUGCCUACAUCGCUGCAGUGCGCACCGUGGGCCUCCGCGGCACAUCGCCAACCCUGGGUGAAGGCCAUCGGCUCACGGUUGCAGUCCACUCCCCGCGUCAACGGCGAAGGUGGUGA
RNAcentral lists this ribosomal RNA (336 nucleotides) under Triticum aestivum (bread wheat). RNAcentral's name for it is "partial small subunit ribosomal RNA". Lineage: Eukaryota; Viridiplantae; Streptophyta; Magnoliopsida; Poales; Poaceae. The record is from RNAcentral.